UUGAAACACCGGUUCCCAUACAAUCACUAAAGUUAAGCAGCAUUGAGCCUGAUCAAUAUCUAAAUGAGUGACCACUUGGGAAUCCCAGGUGCUGUAAG
Molecule: ribosomal RNA, 98 nt
Filed under: Acanthosepion pharaonis
Lineage: Eukaryota; Metazoa; Mollusca; Cephalopoda; Sepiida; Sepiidae
Source: RNAcentral